Molecule: ribosomal RNA, 254 nt
Filed under: uncultured bacterium
Lineage: Bacteria
Description: partial 16S ribosomal RNA
Rfam family: Bacterial small subunit ribosomal RNA
Source: RNAcentral
UACGUAGGGUGCAAGCGUUAAUCGGAAUUACUGGGCGUAAAGCGUGCGCAGGCGGUUAUGUAAGACAGAUGUGAAAUGCCCGGGCUUAACCUGGGAACUGCAUUUGUGACUGCAUGGCUAGAGUUUGGCAGAGGGGGGUAGAAUUCCACGUGUAGCAGUGAAAUGCGUAGAUAUGGUGGAGGAACACCGAUGGCGAAGGCAGUCCCCUGGGUCAAGACUGACGCUCAUGCACGAAAGCGUGGGGAGCAAACAGG